AACCAUUGGAAACGAUGGCUAAUACCGCAUGAUGCCUACGGGCCAAAGAGGGGGACCUUCGGGCCUCUCGCGUCAGGAUAUGCCUAGGUGGGAUUAGCUAGUUGGUGAGGUAAGGGCUCACCAAGGCGACGAUCCCUAGCUGGUCUGAGAGGAUGAUCAGCCACACUGGAACUGAGACACGGUCCAGACUCCUACGGGAGGCAGCAGUGGGGAAUAUUGCACAAUGGGCGCAAGCCUGAUGCAGCCAUGCCGCGUGUAUGAAGAAGGCCUUCGGGUUGUAAAGUACUUUCAGUCGUGAGGAAGGCGGCGUCGUUAAUAGCGGCGUUGUUUGACGUUAGCGACAGAAGAAGCACCGGCUAACU
This 362-nucleotide ribosomal RNA is filed under the name Vibrio anguillarum. RNAcentral's name for it is "bacterial SSU rRNA". It matches the Rfam family "Bacterial small subunit ribosomal RNA", at positions 145 to 502 of the family's 1533-position model. The record is from RNAcentral. Lineage: Bacteria; Pseudomonadati; Pseudomonadota; Gammaproteobacteria; Vibrionales; Vibrionaceae.